GGAGGAGUCGCAUAGUGGUCCAGUGCACAGGUUUGCUAAACCUGCGAGCUUUACGGCUCACGUGGGUUCGAAUCCCACCUCCUCCGCCA
This 89-nucleotide transfer RNA is filed under the name Candidatus Woykebacteria bacterium RBG_19FT_COMBO_43_10. Its description in RNAcentral is "tRNA-Ser". It matches the Rfam family "tRNA". From Rfam's summary of the family: Transfer RNA (tRNA) molecules are approximately 80 nucleotides in length. The record is from RNAcentral. RNAcentral also lists the same sequence under 1 other name. Lineage: Bacteria; Candidatus Woykeibacteriota.